CUGUACCAGGCAAAGGUUUCCACCGCAUUCCGCCCAGCCAGGCCACGAUAAGGCUGCCCUGGGAGCCGUGCCUGCCGACGCUGCCCUGCCACCCCGCUGUCCCUGCAGGGACCAGGUUCACCAGGCUCCUCCUUCCAUCCUGCCGGGGUGCUGCUUCCUGCCGCUCUUUUUACCUGACCAGGUAAAAAGUUUAUUUCUAAAGUCGAGCUGUCGCCUGCCCCUGGCAGUGCCAUCCCCCGGCGGCGGGCCGUCGUGCAGUCGGGUCCUUGCGGGGGCUCCCGUCCGAUGACUGUCGAUCAGUGCGUCCGUGAACAUCUUUGAGCGUAAAGCUUUGCGUCUGUAUUUAGAGUGACGUCCCUCAGAGAAAGUCUGAUGAGCGCAAGCAGUAGAGAAAAGGCUCUGGGGGGGGGACCCCUGCCUGCCACAGACAGACGCCGCAUUUCCCCACCCGCGGGCACACCUGAGCCUUCUGUUUUUCUUCACCUUUGUUGAUUGGAAUGACAAAAAAAUGAUACCUCAUGGCUUAUUUCUUUGUGAAAGUAAUAAACAGGUCUUCCCACCAUCCGUAGAGCCCCCCUAU
This 580-nucleotide long non-coding RNA is filed under the name Suricata suricatta (meerkat). Its description in RNAcentral is "lncRNA (ENSSSUG00005011830.1)". Lineage: Eukaryota; Metazoa; Chordata; Mammalia; Carnivora; Herpestidae. The record is from RNAcentral.